GAUGAACGCUGGCGGCGUGCUUAACACAUGCAAGUCGAACGAAGCACUUUAUUUGAUUUCCUUCGGGACUGAUUAUUUUGUGACUGAGUGGCGGACGGGUGAGUAACGCGUGGGUAACCUGCCUUGUACAGGGGGAUAACAGUUGGAAACGGCUGCUAAUACCGCAUAAGCGCACAGCAUCGCAUGAUGCAGUGUGAAAAACUCCGGUGGUAUAAGAUGGACCCGCGUUGGAUUAGCUAGUUGGUGAGGUAACGGCCCACCAAGGCGACGAUCCAUAGCCGACCUGGGAGGGUGACCGGCCACAUUGAGACUGAGACACGGCCCAAACUCCUACGGGAGGCAGCAGUGGGGAAUAUUGCACAAUGGGCGAAAGCCUGAUGCAGCGACGCCGCGUGAGCGAAGAAGUAUUUCGGUAUGUAAAGCUCUAUCAGCAGGGAAGAUAAUGACGGUACCUGACUAAGAAGCACCGGCUAAAUACGUG
RNAcentral lists this ribosomal RNA (481 nucleotides) under uncultured bacterium. RNAcentral describes it as "partial 16S ribosomal RNA". It matches the Rfam family "Bacterial small subunit ribosomal RNA", at positions 28 to 507 of the family's 1533-position model. The record is from RNAcentral.